RNAcentral lists this ribosomal RNA (301 nucleotides) under uncultured bacterium. RNAcentral describes it as "partial 16S ribosomal RNA". It matches the Rfam family "Bacterial small subunit ribosomal RNA", at positions 509 to 808 of the family's 1533-position model. The record is from RNAcentral.
CAGCAGCCGCGGUAAUACGUAGGUGGCAAGCGUUGUCCGGAAUUAUUGGGCGUAAAGGGCUCGCAGGCGGUUUCUUAAGUCUGAUGUGAAAGCCCCCGGCUCAACCGGGGAGGGUCAUUGGAAACUGGGAAACUUGAGUGCAGAAGAGGAGAGUGGAAUUCCACGUGUAGCGGUGAAAUGCGUAGAGAUGUGGAGGAACACAGUGGCGAAGGCGACUCUCUGGUCUGUAACUGACGCUGAGGAGCGAAAGCGUGGGGAGCGAACAGGAUUAGAUACCCGCGUAGUCCCUGUCUCUUAUACA